AUACGUAGGGUGCGAGCGUUGUCCGGAAUUACUGGGCGUAAAGAGCUCGUAGGUGGUUUGUCGCGUCGUCUGUGAAAUUCCGGGGCUUAACUCCGGGCGUGCAGGCGAUACGGGCAUAACUUGAGUACUGUAGGGGAGACUGGAAUUCCUGGUGUAGCGGUGAAAUGCGCAGAUAUCAGGAGGAACACCGGUGGCGAAGGCGUGUCUCUGGGCAGUAACGGACGCUGAGGAGCGAAAGCAUGGGUAGCGAACAGGAUUAGAUACCCUGGUAGUCCAUGCCGUAAACGGUGGGCGCUAGGUGUAGGGGUCUUCCACGACUUCUGUGCCGUAGCUAACGCAUUAAGCGCCCCGCCUGGGGAGUACGGCCGCAAGGCUAAAACUCAAAGGAAUUGACGGGG
Molecule: ribosomal RNA, 398 nt
Filed under: uncultured bacterium
Lineage: Bacteria
Description: partial 16S ribosomal RNA
Rfam family: Bacterial small subunit ribosomal RNA
Source: RNAcentral